CGCUCCAACCCCUCCCAGGCCUUGCCCCGCCUACCCUGCCUUGGCUCCCUGGCCUCCGGUCUCGCCUCUAGCCCCGCCCCGUCCCCCAAGUCCCGCCCCUCAGGAGGGCGAGGUGGAGCUACAGCGCCGCUUGGCGUCGGCCGGGAGGGAGCCUCAGCCUCUCCUGCUUCUCCACGCCCACAGGCAGAAGAUGCCGAUGCAAGUUCAACCAGCAGCAGAGGUAAGACGCCCCUCCCCGCCUUCCUUCGCCCGCUCCUGCUCUGGAGGGCGCCGCAGGUGAGGCGGGGAGUCCGCCUGACCCGCAGCCCGAUCCCCAUCAGCGACUAUGUAUUAAGCACCUACUAUGUACCAUGGUCCAAGCCAGGCCCUGGGACCAAGCGAGGAAAAAACCUCCCGCCCUUCCUGGCCGAGCUCCCAGCCUAGUGGAGGCGGUGGCCGUGGGUUCCAACAGCCCCACAGAUAGAAAAAUCACAAAGCGUGAUAACACAAAGUGCAGGAAAGAAGGAACGGCGGUGAAAUGAGAUCAUCUCACACGCGGCCCAGUUUAGCUUAGAGUCCUGUUCCUAGCUCUUUGAUUCCUCUUCAAAUAAAAUGUUAAAGCAUGGACAAUGUGUGAAUAUGUUAGAACAAUUAUAGAUAUUAUCAUAAGCAGUAGCUAAUAUUUAUUGGGUGUGUACCACGUGUCAGAUACGGUUUCACUUCCUCUGGGAGGGAGGUGCUGUUAUUUUACAGAUGAGGAAACUGAGGCACAGGGAGGUAAAGUCACUUUGUUCAAGAUCACUCAAGUGGAAGAUGGGGGAUUCCGGGUUUCCAACCCAGGCCAUCUCACGACAGUCUGCCAAGUCCCCUUGACUGUCCCUCACCUACCAACUUCACAUCCCUGCCCCCAAAUCCGCGGAGGUACUCACUGUUAACCGGCUUGGAAGCCCCCUGCCAAGCACUUAAGCUGCUCCUGGGUGCUUCUUAUUUCUGGCGGACCCCGAGCCUGUUCUUCGUCCAUAUCUGGGCCUUGUUACACCGGUCUGGGAAAGGAGGCUUGUACUGGGGGUUCCUGAAGGGCAGCCUCUCCCCCUUUCCAUCCCGAAAUCCUUCUGCCUCUGUCCUCCCAGGACUGGGGAACCCGAUGAAGAGGAGGGAACUUUCCGCAGCUCCAUCCGCCGUGAGUCUGGGGAGACUGCGGGUAUUUUGGGGAGAGGGCUGGUUCCAAGGACCCCUUUUCCUGGCCCUCCCUGGCUGCGUAGAGGGAGGGGCUGGAUCUGAAAGCAGAGGGCGGGGAGUUGCCCCGCCUGCCCAGGAGCUGGGGAUGCCCCUCCUGAUGACCCCCGACCUCCGUGUUCCCCCCAGGUCUGUCCACCCGCAGGCGGUAGAAACACCUGGCGCGAUGGAAUCCGGCCAGGACUCCCCUGGCACCUGACGUCUCCCACGCUCCACCU
This is a long non-coding RNA of Rhinopithecus bieti (black snub-nosed monkey), 1433 nucleotides long. NCBI's taxonomy places the organism in Eukaryota, Metazoa, Chordata, Mammalia, Primates, Cercopithecidae. The record is from Ensembl.